UUAUGGCCACAUCUGGUUGAAACACCAGUUCUCAGAUGAUCACCAAAGUUAAGCAAUGUCGAGCCUGGUCAAUACCUAGGUGGGUGACCACUAGGGAAUACUACAUUCUGUA
This is a non-coding RNA of Acanthosepion pharaonis, 112 nucleotides long. Lineage: Eukaryota; Metazoa; Mollusca; Cephalopoda; Sepiida; Sepiidae. The record is from the annotation of a GenBank genome assembly.